AGCGAACGCUGGCGGCAGGCCUAACACAUGCAAGUCGAACGAACUCUUCGGAGUUAGUGGCGGACGGGUGAGUAACACGUGGGAACGUGCCUUUUGGUUCGGAAUAACUCAGGGAAACUUGUGCUAAUACCGAAUGUGCCCUUCGGGGGAAAGAUUUAUCGCCAUUAGAGCGGCCCGCGUCUGAUUAGCUAGUUGGUGAGGUAGCGGCUCACCAAGGCGACGAUCAGUAGCUGGUCUGAGAGGAUGACCAGCCACACUGGGACUGAGACACGGCCCAGACUCCUACGGGAGGCAGCAGUGGGGAAUCUUGCGCAAUGGGCGAAAGCCUGACGCAGCCAUGCCGCGUGAAUGAUGAAGGUCUUAGGAUUGUAAAAUUCUUUCACCGGGGACGAUAAUGACGGUACCCGGAGAAGAAGCCCCGGCUAACUUCGUG
This 433-nucleotide ribosomal RNA is filed under the name uncultured bacterium. RNAcentral describes it as "partial 16S ribosomal RNA". It matches the Rfam family "Bacterial small subunit ribosomal RNA", at positions 29 to 507 of the family's 1533-position model. The record is from RNAcentral.